Molecule: ribosomal RNA, 420 nt
Filed under: uncultured bacterium
Lineage: Bacteria
Description: bacterial SSU rRNA
Rfam family: Bacterial small subunit ribosomal RNA
Source: RNAcentral
UAAGGAAUAUUGCUCAAUGGGAGAAAUCCUGAAGCGGCAACGCCGCGUGGAGGAUGAAGGGUCUAUGACUUGUAAACUCCUGUAAAGAAGGAAAAAAUUCCCAUUAGAUGGGAGAUGAUGGUACUUCUGGAGUAAGCCCCGGCUAACUACGUGCCAGCAGCCGCGGUAAUACGUAGGGGGCAAGCGUUGUCCGGAUUUACUGGGUGUAAAGGGUGCUCAGGCGGAUUUGUAAGUCAGAGGUGAAGUCUUACAGCUUAACUGUGAAACUGCCGUUGAUACUGCAAGCCUAGAGUAUGGAAGAGAGUGAUGGAAUAUCUGGUGUAGCUGUGAAAUGCGUAGAUAUCAGAUAGAACACCAAUGGCGAAGGCAGUCACUUGGUCCAUUACUGACGCUAAAGCACGAAAGCGUGGGUAGCAAACA